GUAAUUGGUACGUCUGCUAACAUCUCCAACGUCCUGUUGGAACGCAGACAUAACCACAUCCUGUGGU
Molecule: non-coding RNA, 67 nt
Organism: Brevibacillus choshinensis
Lineage: Bacteria; Bacillati; Bacillota; Bacilli; Caryophanales; Paenibacillaceae
Source: Rfam